This 460-nucleotide ribosomal RNA is filed under the name uncultured bacterium. RNAcentral describes it as "partial 16S ribosomal RNA". It matches the Rfam family "Bacterial small subunit ribosomal RNA", at positions 338 to 795 of the family's 1533-position model. The record is from RNAcentral.
CCUACGGGAGGCAGCAGUGAGGAAUAUUGGUCAAUGGACGCAAGUCUGAACCAGCCAUGCCGCGUGCAGGAAGACGGCUCUAUGAGUUGUAAACUGCUUUUGUACGAGGGUAAACGCAGAUACGCGUAUCUGUCUGAAAGUAUCGUACGAAUAAGGAUCGGCUAACUCCGUGCCAGCAGCCGUGGCAAUACGGAGGAUUCAAGCGUUAUCCGGAUUUAUUGGGUUUAAAGGGUGCGGUGGCGGUCGGAUAAGUUAGAGGUGAAAUCCCGAGGCUCAAAUUCGGAAUUGCCUCUGAGACUGUUCGGCUAGAGAGUAGUUGCGGUAGGCGGAAUGUAUGGUGUAGCAGUGAAAUGCUUAGAGAUCAUACAGAACACCGAUUGCGAAGGCAGCUUACCAAGCUACUUCUGACGUUGAGGCACGAAAGCGUGGGGAGCAAACAGGAUUAGAUACCCGAGUAGUC